GACGAACCGUGCUAACGUUGUUCGGAAUCACUGGGCUUAAAGGGCGCGUAGGCGGGCACGUAAGUCAGGGGUGAAAGCCCACGGCUCAACCGUGGAAGGGCCUUUGAUACUGCGUGUCUGGAGGGAGGUAGGGGCGUGCGGAACUUCCGGUGGAGCGGUGAAAUGCGUAGAUAUCGGAAGGAACACCGGUGGCGAAAGCGGCGCGCUGGACCUCUUCUGACGCUGAGGUGCGAAAGCGUGGGGAGCAAACAGG
Molecule: ribosomal RNA, 253 nt
Filed under: uncultured bacterium
Lineage: Bacteria
Description: partial 16S ribosomal RNA
Rfam family: Bacterial small subunit ribosomal RNA
Source: RNAcentral